UACGUAGGGGGCGAGCGUUGUCCGGAAUUAUUGGGCGUAAAGGGCGCGUAGGCGGUCUUGUAAGUCUCGUGUGAAAUCCCUCGGCUUAACUGAGGAACUGCACGGGAUACUGCAUGACUUGAGGUCGGGAGAGGGAAGCGGAAUUCCGGGUGUAGCGGUGAAAUGCGUAGAUAUCCGGAGGAACACCGGUGGCGAAGGCGGCUUCCUGGACCGACUCUGACGCUGAGGCGCGAAAGCUAGGGGAGCAAACGGG
Molecule: ribosomal RNA, 253 nt
Filed under: uncultured bacterium
Lineage: Bacteria
Description: partial 16S ribosomal RNA
Rfam family: Bacterial small subunit ribosomal RNA
Source: RNAcentral